CUAUGGUAGCUUUACCGCCCGCCAGCAGGUGCCGCCGUGGGCCAGGGCUGCACCUGGAUGGUCGUGGCAGCGUACGGCUGGCCAGCGGGCACGUAGGCGCGGCUGCUGCUGUUGAAGCCAGUGGUGAGGGCAGAGUUGUUCUGGUAGGUCGUGAUGGCAGCGUUCAUCUGGGCAAUCAGCAUCGGAGGGUCAACGUAGCCGAUGUUCUUGGUGUUGAGCAUGGCGGUCAGGGCCUUGGUCUGGGAAGCGAUGGUGGCGUUCAGGUACUUGUCGAAGUAAGCCGGGCCAAAGGUCUUGUUCACGGCGAUGUUCUCCUUGGUCAGCUGGGCGUACAGGGUCACCGUCACGUUCUGCAUCGGAAACAACAGGGACAAGUGGGGUUCAGACGGCGGGCACGGAAACAGGCAACGCACUUUUGUCUCGCGAAUUAAUAGCGCUUGGGUCGAGACCCCGGACCGGGGCCUCCGGCUUUCACACGCGUAGGAAGUCGCGCAACGACCGGGACAUUCAGUGUCGGCUGAAACAGUAUGGACACGGGAGCCCGCAACAUGACUUAACCGGGACUCCCAACAGCCGCUUCCCGUUUAAACCUACCGUCAUGCCCUUCUUGUACUUGGCGAUGUCCUUGGACAUGGUCAGAGACGGCGAGUAGGCGCCGUACGCGAAGAUGGCAGCGCAGAGGAAGCCCGACACAAUCAGGGUAAAGAUCCAGGCAACGACCUGCUUGGCGAACAGCUUCCAGUUCACGCCGCUGCGCAGGUCCUCGACCAGGCCCACGCCCAUCUCAGCGCCGGUGAUGCACUGGGUGGUGGAGAUGGGCAGGCCGUACACGGAGGCCAGCGACACGGUGAACGAAGUGCCCAGCUCAGCCGAGAAACCGCGGGACGGCGUCAUCUGCGAACCGGGCAUGAAACGGCAUGCGUUACAAGGGCAAGCUAGGGAAAUGCAGGCACAUUUGAAGAGGGAGGCUCGCACAAGGCGACAGCAUGCGUGCCCCGCCCAUCCGGACGUGUCAAUGUGCUGGGCAUUCAUAGCGUUCCAGGUCCCAAAAGCGUGCCCAUUCCACCCCCCACGCACCUUGGCCAGGCCCACGCCCAGAGUCAUCAUGAUGUUGUAGCCGUAGGUAGCCAGGCCCACCACAAUGCCGGCGCCGCCCAUGGCCAUCACCCAGAUGGGGGUGUCGCCGUUGGACGUGAUGGUCCAGAAACGGUACACGUACCAGAUGCCGGAGAAGGGGCCGACAGCGUUGGCGACAUCGUUGGCUCCGUGCGCGAAAGACACGGCGCAGGCAGAGAAGACCUGCAGGUACUUGUACACCUGCUCGGUCUCGGGGGAGAACACCUCGGCGGCAGCGUGCAUGUCGUGGAUGGUCUGGUCGUGCUCCACGUGCUGCGCGCGGCAAGGGCACCAGGGAGGUCUCGCGUGAAUACACUGGCAAGUUUGUGCUCGGGGUUUCGGGGUCUACACCAACCCACCCAGCUCCAUACCGUUCACUGCCGAAAUGUCCAGGACCCACCUCGUGAAUGUCGACGUUCAGGCCGCGGGUGGCAGCCUUCUUCAUCGAGUUGAAGAUCUUCAUGGCCUUGGAGGUGGGCUCAGCCUCCACCUCCUCCUCCUUGGGCUUGCCGGCGUUGGCCUCGGCGUCAGCAGCCUUCUGGGCAGCCCUGCAGAGUCGAGCAUUCCCAAAGUGUUAGCAGUUGCUUUGCCGCAAGCAUGUCCUGCGACUAUGAAUACCGGUAUGCAUAUGCAUGGCGCUCCUGACGGCACACGGACACAAGACGCACGGCAACGCAGCACCUAGCGUCAAACGCACCGGUCCAUGUCCUUGGUGACGGCACGGCGCAGCAGCCACAUGCCGGGGAAGAUGGCGAGAAGCAUGCAGCCUGCGGGUCAAUCCGUGGGGUUACAUUCAUGACUAAUCAGGGAAGUCGUACACGGGCCACCUGUGGCCUCGGGUGGGUCAAUCCCAAGCAAUGGUUGUCCAAAUAUCCCGGUCGUUAGUGUCAUAAUGCAACCCAGUCAGAACCGCAGACGACUCUUAACGCUUACCAGCAGUAAUGCACGCAGCCACCCAGGCGGCCUUGUUCGAGUCCCAGUGAGCCACGUUCUUGGCUCCCUUGUAGAUCACGAAGAAAACUGUUGGAACAAGUCCAUGCACGCAAACCGAGCGUUAGCGGAGCGGACACCUGGCAUGUAUCCGGUUUUGGCAUCAGGCGCCUCCGGCCAGAACAAUUGCUCGUCAGACCCACGCCACUGCAACACACAAUCGCACGCCCGGCGAUGACUUCGGCAACCUGCAUCCCUCCAAGCCCUAUGCAAAUGUACGUGCAAUUCCAGCACCAACGGCACCUUAUGAGCCCGUAACUGAUCUCCAGCCACCCACCGUUGAUGAACACGGUGACACCAACCAGCAGGGGGUACAUGUAGAUUGCCAGGUUGGUCGAGUUCUCGCGGCGGAGGAUGCACACGCGGUUGAGCCAGAAGAUGAUGGCAGACGCAAUGCCUGCAGCAAGGGAAGAGGGUUGGGUGCACGAGUGUGUGAGAAGCAGUGCACGCAAUCGUAAUGGAAUAAGCAACCGAUCCAUGCAUGACAGACGAAGCCGACGUGCAGCUGCGGCAGGAAGAUGAGUACAGGUUCCAGGAACGCAGGUCUUGCCCCGACCCAUGGCGAGCCUCACUAAUUUGUGAGUUCCACGACACCCCACACUCAGGCUGAACGAACACGUACACGCCUGUCUUGGCAUAAGACAGUGCACUCACCCGACAUGAGGGGCGACACGAACCAGGAGCAGAUGACGGGCACCAGACCCUUCGAGUAGGGGAAGGCGUCCAUGUGGUCGUUCCACACCACGGCGCCAGAGCCACCCCACACCAGGGCAAAGCCCAUCACCGCGCCGAUGACGGAGUGAGUGGUGGACACGGCCAGGCUAAAGUAGGUAGCGGUGAACACCCAGGUAGAGGCGGAAAUGAGCGCGCACAUCAUGCCGUACGCGAACAUCUCUGGGAGGUCCUGGAACGCGGUGGGGCGAGCGAUGGAGCCAGCGAUGGUCUUGGUCACCUCGCCACCCAGGCCGAUGGCUCCGGCGAACUCGAAGACGGAAGCGAUGAGGCAAGCCUGCUUCAGGGUAAUGGUCUUGGCGCCGACGGAGGUGCCGAAGGCGUUGGCCACUGUUGGGGGUAGGGGGUUGCAGGUCGGGUUAGUGCCAGGAUAUACACUUGCAUUGGGCUAGUCCGUAAGCGGAGCUGGUUUCCGUGUCAGUGGCACCCUGUUCCACCGGAAUCAGGUCAAGGGACCUGAAGCUGAUGCUCACCAUCAUUGGCACCGAUGCCGGCGGCCAUGAUAAAUGAGACAAUGAAGCCCACAAUCACCAGCCACAUGUAAUCUGCAUCCAGAUGCAGCAGAAGAAAAGAGCAGUGUUGGUAGGCGCAGGAGUUGCGUUGGGGCGGCCCAUGGAGCUAUGGCUACAACAUUAUGCUGGCAAGACCUAGCAUUACGAUGCGCCUACCUGUCCAGUACUCCGGCGGCAUCUGCGGGCGGGUAGGAACAUGAGCGCGGGCAGAGGGGCAAAAGUGAACAGCGAGGGCGAGGGAAAGCAACAGGAGGGAAGGAGGUGCGGCGCUGCGAAGGAGGUGCGGCGCUGCGGAAGAAAGCCAAUGCUAGGCAAAACGCUGACUACAAUAUCGAGUCCACCAUCAAGCGGCUGCCCCAUAAGCAAGUUCGUCGGAGAACGUGAUGCUGAUGCGGCGCAAGCAAUCGGUCACGCUCGGCGGCUGAAGUCAUCGCAAGCCGAACAGACAAUAACGGCCUGAUGCCCGCUGCAACUCUAGUGUUACGCCACACCACCGCAGCGCUGAAACGGGAGUGAACAACCCCACGGGUGUCAGUCCACUUUACGUCUGUCCUGGCCACCCACCUUCGCUGGACUGUCGGUCGCUUAAACAGCCCGUCAAGGCAGGAAGGUACUCUAGAAAGAGAGAACAGGCAGGCUCAGAGCAGGAGUGUGUGGUCGUCGAAGGUCCACCUUUACGGCUUGGCGAAGCAGGUUGUGGCAAAGUCUCUUAAUUAUGUCAAAGGUUGCUCACACACGCUUUAUGCGGCAGCUGAAAUCCGGCGAGAGGCGGUUUCGCCGGAAUUUCGUCAUCAUGAUGAUUCCAAAGGAAUCAAGUUGCUUUUUUGCGGAACAAGCUUUUCACAAGCUUUUCACAGGCGCAGCAUUGACUUUGUUAGUCCUGUCAAAAAUUUUGCAUUCCGAGGUGAAGCACCUCGGAAAUUCUCUGUCUGACAGAGAAGUCUACGAAAUUCUCUGGAGUAACGCAAAUUAAUGCACGUUUUAGAAAACAUACGAUAUCACACAUGCAUCAAACUGGGACGCGACGAUGUCCCGAAACGCUGGAUUUCAACCUUCCCACUCAGAGCAGAAAACGCAGUCAUGGCCUCUGCGUCAUCGCCGGGAAACGAUACUAAAUGCAAUUCAUCAUGAAGAACUCAAACAACUCAAUAUCAGAACAAACCCCCCUCGCAUCAAACUGAAGACAGAGUGCCGCCAUCCGCCACGGCACGCCAUACAAGUCACCGUCAAUGCAGUGGGUCGGCGCCGCAGGGCUUAUCCGUGCGGCGUAGAACUGUUUGGCGGGCAGGUUGGCACGGGGUGGAGCGGUUGAACCGGUGGUGACAUUGAGCCGCGGUGACGAUGCUCGAGGUAGUCGAAGUAGCCUGCGCGUCUCCAUACAGCUGCAGCUCCACAUGGGCGCAAAUGUGGCAUAGCAAGGGGCAGGCACGGCAGGCGGCACGUCAAUGGCACAGACCCGCAGGGAUGCGGUGGGACAGGGUGUGCGAUGGGACAGGGGAAGGGCACGGGGUAAGGGGCAGGUUGGCAGCCCCGUAGAGUUCAGCGUAUUCCCAAAUGGUCGCGGAAUGGGACAUCAGGCGAGACAUAUCAAGAUGGCCGCAUCAGCUAAGAUUCACAACUCACCUGUCCCGGGAAGGUAGCAUUCAUCACGGGCAUCCAGCGAGCGGUGUCGGUCUUCAGGUUAUGGAUGGACUGCAAGGCAGGCCUGCCGUGCAGGGGAGUCAGGUGACAAGGGGAACGUUGGGCGCGUCAGUUGGACGAAACACAUGUGCUGCGCCCAAGCGGCCCCGCUUCCAUACGGCAUGCAAUACGUAAUGCGCGAAUUGCCUUUUAAGGAGCCAAUGCGUGUCAUACGGUAAGCUAAGAACCCAACCACAGCAGGCCAAGACUUACGAUAUCAUAGUGGAUGUCCUUGCUAUUGGCCAGCUCCAGCACGUCGGGCGCCGGUCAACAGGGGCGCCUGCGGUUCAUUAAGUGACAAUGUAGGGGCAACCGUAUGAAGACGGCCAAGGGUCGAAGGGGACUGAAGUGUGCUUCGGCGAUGGUGGACACGCAAGGCCAUGGGCAAACCGUGUCCAGGAAGCCACUCACCGUAGGCGUGCACACAUAACACAAAAUAGCAAAACUGCAGUAUACGGGCAAACCGUGUCCAGGAAGCCACUCACCGUAGGCAUGCACACAUAACACAAUCAAGCGAAACUGCAGUACGGUAUACAUGCUUAGGAACCAUGCAAGUGAACCAGAAGACAGAAGUCCAAACAAUGUUUACAGUAUUAAUCAUGCAUCGGUGUUUCCCGCACAACAAGAAAGCACUCGUCAGGUGGGAUCGUAAAAGUGUGCAAGCAGUAUGCAACAAGUUCCCUACACCGACUACAGGCUGCCACUGUGCCAAACAACAGUGCAAGCCUCACAGUGCAAGCCUCACAGAGCCUGCCUCACAGAGCCUGCACAGCAACCACUCUGUCAGCAAAGAGCCGUAUCUCAGUAUCUAGUGGCAGCUUAGCAGCCUUAAGCCAGCACCACACCAUCCUGCAGACCGCGUCCUCUACGUGCCCGCACGCGCAGUAGUCCUGGUUUUCAUGGUCAGUCACGUUCUCAAUGAUUUAUUCUAGGAAUGCAACAGCCUACCGCCCGCCAGCGGGUGCCGCUGUGGGCCAGGGCUGCACCUGGAUGGUCGUGGCAGCGUACGGCUGGCCAGCGGGCACGUAGGCGCGGCUGCUGCUGUUGAAGCCAGUGGUGAGGGCAGAGUUGUUCUGGUAGGUCGUGAUGGCAGCGUUCAUCUGGGCAAUCAGCAUCGGAGGGUCAACGUAGCCGAUGUUCUUGGUGUUGAGCAUGGCGGUCAGGGCCUUGGUCUGGGAAGCGAUGGUGGCGUUCAGGUACUUGUCGAAGUAAGCCGGGCCAAAGGUCUUGUUCACGGCGAUGUUCUCCUUGGUCAGCUGGGCGUACAGGGUCACCGUCACGUUCUGCAUCGGAAACAACAGGGACGAGUGGGGUUCAGACGGCGGGCACGGAAACAGGCAGCGCACUUUUGUCUCGCGAAUUAAUAGCGCUUGGGUCGAGACCCCGGACCAGGGCCUCCGGCUUUCACACGCGUAGGAAGUCGCGCAACGACCGGGACAUUCAGUGUCGGCUGAAACAGUAUGGACACGGGAGCCUGCAACAUGACUUAACCGGGACUCCCAACAGCCGCUUCCCGUUUAAACCCACCGUCAUGCCCUUCUUGUACUUGGCGAUGUCCUUGGACAUGGUCAGAGACGGCGAGUAGGCGCCGUACGCGAAGAUGGCAGCGCAGAGGAAGCCCGACACAAUCAGGGUGAACACCCAGGCAACGACCUGCUUGGCGAACAGCUUCCAGUUCACGCCGCUGCGCAGGUCCUCGACCAGGCCCACGCCCAUCUCGCCACCGGUAAUAAUUUGGGUGGUGGACACAGGCAGGCCGUACACGGAGGCAAUGGAGACGGUGAACGAGGUAGCCAGCUCAGCGCAGAAGCCGCGGGACGGCGUCAUCUGCGGAACAGGCAUUGUAGGGGGAACAAGUGCCAAGGGUGAGCUGGAGAGCGCCGGAAACUUAUGCUCGCAAGCAUGACCGCUCCUACUAUCAAACCCUGCCACUGCGCCAUACAUGAGCAGUGUCCACGCGCCCACAGCCUGCUGCCUUUGCAUCAGCGCACCUUGGCCAGGCCCACGCCCAGAGUCAUCAUGAUGUUGUAGCCGUAGGUAGCCAGGCCCACCACAAUGCCGGCGCCGCCCAUGGCCAUCACCCAGACGGGGGUGUCGCCGCUGGACGAGAUGGUCCAGAAGCGGUACACAUACCAGAUGCCGGAGAAAGGGCCGACAGCGUUGGCGACAUCGUUGGCUCCGUGCGCGAAAGACACGGCGCAGGCAGAGAAGACCUGCAGGUACUUGUACACCUGCUCGGUCUCGGGGGAGAACACCUCGGCGGCAGCGUGCAUGUCGUGGAUGGUCUGGUCGUGCUCCACGUGCUGCGCGCGGCAAGGGCACCAGGGAGGUCUCGCGUGAAUACACUCGCAAGUUUGUGCUCGGGGUCUCGGGGUCUACACCAACCCACUCAGCUCCAUACCGUUCACUGCCGAAAUGUCCAGGACCCACCUCGUGAAUGUCGACGUUCAGGCCGCGGGUGGCAGCCUUCUUCAUCGAGUUGAAGAUCUUCAUGGCCUUAGAGGUGGGCUCAGCCUCCACCUCCUCCUCCUUGGGCUUGCCGGCGUUGGCCUCGGCGUCAGCAGCCUUCUGGGCAGCCCUGCAGAGUCGAGCAUUCCCAAAGUGUUAGCAGUUGCUUUGCCGCAAGCAUGUCCUGCGACUAUGAAUACCGGUAUGCAUAUGCAUGCGCGCGCAUCGUCUCAGACCCUACAACAAAUUGAACACAAGCAAUCUGCACAAUCAAGCAGACAAACUGAAGAAGCACAGUGCCUCCCGUAAUGUACUCACCGGUCCAUGUCCUUGGUAACGGCACGGCGCAGCAGCCACAUGCCGGGGAAGAUGGCGAGAACCAUGCAGCCUGCGGAUCAGUUCACACCGACACAACUUUCAAUGGCUAUUCUCGGUUGCGUGAAGCCUGUGCAUUGCAGUUCCUGACACUGGCACGUGAAGUGCCCAGCUUGCCACCGGGUGGCACACAGCACCACAGCAGGUAUUCGCACCAGUGCUUUGCUCACCGGCCAUGAUGCACGCAGCCACCCAGGCGGCCUUGUUCGAGUCCCAGUGAGCCACGUUCUUAGCUCCCUUGUAGAUUACAAAGAAAACUGUGGGCAGGCAACAGAGGCAAGAUGAAACGUGACGAACACGAGCAGUUCCUCAAUAGACACUAUCGCCUCUGUCACUUGUGGCAGUCAACAGACAGUCAACUAGAGGGCGUGCUCUCGACUAUCAUACUGGUUGAUACAUUGCAAUGCGCGCACAGUACUGCUGAGUCCCGGCAAGACCACCAUGCCGGCUAGAUUCCUUGGGUGUUGCAUUGUCUACCUCCUUCCAGCCACCCACCAUUGAUGAAGACGGUGACACCCACAAGAAGGGGGUAAAAGUAAAUUGCCAACUGGGUUGAGUUCUCGCGGCGAAGGAUGCACACGCGGUUCAGGCUGAAGAGAAUAGCAGCAGUAAUUCCUGCCGCAAGGAGGAAGGAAUAGUUGGUUAGAUAUGUGAGAAUCUGGGGGGACACACUAAAAAGCAACAUUUAGGCCUGCUGCAGGAUAGUGAAACGAGGAAACCAUUACUCAGGUCGGAAUUGCUUCGCACUUACCCGACAUGAUGGGCGACACGAACCAGGAGCAGAUCACGGGCACCAGACCCUUCGAGUAGGGGAAGGCGUCCAUGUGGUCGUUCCACACCACGGCGCCAGAGCCACCCCACACCAGGGCAAAGCCCAUCACCGCGCCGAUGACGGAGUGGGUGGUGGAUACGGCAAGGCAGAAGUAUGUGGCAACGAACACCCAGGUAGAUGCGGCAAUAAGCGCGCACAUCAUGCCGUACGCGAACAUCUCUGGGAGGUCCUGGAACGCGGCGGGGCGAGCGAUGGAGCCAGCGAUGGUCUUGGUCACCUCGCCACCCAGGCCAAUGGCACCGGCGAACUCAAAGACGGAAGCGAUGAGGCAAGCCUGCUUCAGGGUAAUGGUCUUGGCGCCGACGGAGGUGCCGAAGGCGUUGGCCACUGUUGGGGGUAGGGGGUUGCAGGUCGGGUUAGUGGCAAGGCACUAGGGCAAGGGUUACUGGUGCAAUAUCUACAUGGAGGUAAGGUCCACAUUGUUGCGGACCCAACACUCACCAUCGUUAGCACCAAUACCGGCGGCCAUAAUAAAUGAGACAAUAAAGCCCACAAUCACCAGCCACAUAUAAUCUGUUAGGCAGGUGGCGUUGACAAUUGGAGGGAGGAGCAAGGGGCAGAUGAUGGGGUACCGUAAGUUUGGUUCUGAAGGUGGAACGGGGCAGCAGCACGGCGCUUGCAGUGAUGGCAGGCCCAGCACUGCUUUCGCAACGUCAUGUAAUUCCAUUUUACUAGUCCCAAACAUUGCGCUUACCUGUCCAGUACUCCGGCGGCAUCUGUGGGGCCGACCAAAGAAAAAGAAGGGAAGUGGCAGGAGGGGGCGUGAGCCGAGCGUCACAGCAGUCGGCUGACUGGCCCCAGGGAGCUGGGCUAUAUAAGGUGAGAGUGACCAGGGCUUCCUUUGUUUCAAUCAACCUAUUGAGUAUGUCUUUGUGGGUUCCGUUCCUGAGCGGACAAGUGCGCAGCAAGCACGGAGUGUAGAGCAUGGACAUCCCUGUAUUUGCAUGGCGGGCACACGGACGACUAGUCCGCGCCAGGCGACGAGCGGACAUACCUUUGCGAGAGUUGUCGAUCCAAAACCCCGUCAGGGCGGCAGGUGCUGGCUGGCCGGGCGGAAGGGCGCUCAACCUCAAGAGGGAUUUAUCAAGCGGUGCACGGCGUCGUGCGCUCGGUACUUCUGGAGGCGGGUCUAGGUUUGCGUCUGUCACAAUUAGUUGUAUGGGGUAUGUGAAUUGAUAUAUAAUGGUGGAAGCCCGACAAAUGCUGGCCCAAUGAGAAAGAGGGGAAUUCCUGUCUCACCGACGAUAUUCGGCAUCACCAACGUUACCCGGCCGCGCCCUCCAUUCACUCGUUGCAGUGCAUUACAAGGAUUUCGCUAUAUCAGAGUGUGUGAUUGAAGUGCAGAAGAUGCGAGUCAGAGGAACGGUCGGGCAGGUCCGGGGUGGGGUGUUCGUAAGUCGGGUACCGGCGGAAGGCGGGUACACGAAUGCCCAUGCUGUCAACCGCACCGCCAGGCCCGCAUGUGGUGUCGCGAGCUAGCUGGCUAUGCAUAAGUAUAGAGUAUAAUUAAGUUUGUAUUCCUCCAGCCGCUGUUUGCAAUACACACUCCCCCACCAGAAGCAGGGUGGGAUGAACCCGAUUGCCUCGCUCGCCCUCCCUGUUCAGUCAUUCAGCCGCUAUACAAUUCCCGGUCUUCAGAGUGCGGCUUCGUGCAGCGGUUGGUCACGACUAUCCAACCUGCUCCCGUCACGUGCCUCCCCGUGCUCGUAUGCGUGUCGCCCUGUCAGCUCCCUGCUUUGCUCCCUCCUAGGCCUUCCCUGCCCUGCCUGUGCCUCACCGUGAACCUGGACAGCAGGCCCGCCAGCGCGUCCCGGCUGAGCUUAACCAGGAUGCCGGCUUUCUCCAGCGGCUCCAGCAGCGCAGCCUAGCAUGCAUAUAAUGUUAGCAAACGCUAGCAAACAGUGUACAGUAUACGAUUGUGUACCUUAACGAGUCCCACCUGGCUAGGUGCAUUCACUCGAGAGCCUUGAUCCUUGACAACGCCUGCCGCCGAAAGCAUUGUGCAGCCACAUGCGCAUCCAGGCCCACCAGGUGUACAGCUACACUGACAGCCUGUGCUCACGGGUGGAAGCAUGGAGGGGAAGAGCGCAUGUCAGGUGUGCGGGACAGGUUCGUCCAGGACAGGCGACAGCAAGCCAGCAAAAUGCAACACAGUAUGGGCGGGGCACAGCACCACCACAGCGCACAUGUCCAGGAGGCACAUGACUUGCCUGUGGUUCCUUGAUCGCAUCGUUGCAUCCAGGCACAUGCGACCGCGCACACACAUGUUAGGCAUUGAACACAUAGUCUCUCCCUGUGCAGUGACUGCACACACAAGCCUGACGGACAGCGGCGGUUCAGAGAGCAACCGUCCUUCACACUUGCAUUGCUAAAAUGCUGUGCGCUAGUGUCUUCACCUCUUCGCCCCGAUAUCUCACGGACGGGACUGAUUGCCACAGUGAUUACAAACAAGUGUCAGGAACAGUCGUGCACAAUACCCCACGCAUCAUCAAAGAUAUCCCAGCCCGCUAUCCAGCCCCGCCUAUCGUAUUUCUAGCCUAUGUAUUGCCUGCACGCGUUAGGCUCGUUGGGCCCGCUCGCAUUCGUAAUCACCGGUAGCGAUGAUCGUACUCGAAUUCAAUGUCAUUCAGUGAGUCAUGAUAGGCGAUUGAGUUCCAUCCUGCUCACAAGGUUGCAAGUCGUGAUGGCACCAGUCCACAUGUCCGACAACGGUAAUACUGACAUUCAAUCAAAAUCUAUGCCACUGUAAAAGUGAUGUGCAAACCGCUGAGCCACAUGACACUACGCCGUGCCCCACUUCAGCAGUUGUGCGCGACGCAGGCCUGGCCUUACCGCCCGCCGGCGGGAGCGGCCACGGCGUAGGGCUUGACCUCGAUAGUGCUGGCGGCGUAGGGCUGGUUGGCGGGCACGUAGGCGCGGGUGGAGCGGUUGAAGCCGGUGGUGACUACAGAGUAGUUCACGUAGGUAAGGUACGCGUUGUUCAUCUCGGUCGCCAGCUGGGUGGGGUCGAUGUAACCAAUGGUCUUACUGUUGAACAUGUUGGUGAGGGUCCGCGUGUUGGUGGUGAUGGUGCGGUUCAGCGUGGGGUCGAACUGCAGCAAGGAAAGGGGGGCAAGGUCACGGGUGGUGGAGGAUACCGUACAUGUCGAACGCGGCAAGCAAGUCGCGCGCUCAGCGUGGGCAAGUGUGUGUGUGUGUGCGGGUGUUUGGUUAUGCGUGUUUUGGAGAGCAUAAUUAGAAGAGAGCGAAACUGUAUGUGAAUGGGAAGGUGUGUGUGUGUGUGUGUGUGUGUGCGCGCGCGCGCAAGGGGGAACGCUUAGCCCGCUGCCGAGGUGAUACAGGCGACAUGAGAAGAAACGCAUGACAACUGGGCUGGUUGCCUAGGUAGCGAUGAUGCUCGUAACAGGGGCCAUUGGUUGUAUCCGCGCCGGGGCAUGCAUGUAAAUGCUGCAGCUGGGCCUCGCCGGUGAACCCACCUGACCAGGGAAGCUGGUGUUCACCGCCACGUUGGAGGCGUUGAGCGAGCGGUAGAUGACGGUGGUCAGGUUGCGGAUGGACUGCAAGGCAAGGGCAAGGAGCACGCGUAGGGUAAGGCGCAGAACUGUUGGGGACUGGGGAGGCAACGUGCCGCGAACGGCAGGACUCGAUACGUGAAAGGCCAAGAGCCCAGCCGGCGUGCUCACACAGCACAAAGCCAAACAGAGGGCCAGGGCUCACCGUCUCAUACUUCAAGAUGUCCUUGCCCAUGGUCAGCGACGGAGCGUAGGCGCCGAAAGCGAAGAUGGCGGCAGACAGGAAGCCGGCAAUGAUCAGGGUGAACACCCAGGCGGCGAAUUGCUGAGGGGAGACGAAGGAUGGGAAAGGGAUGUCAACAAGGCAUGUAAGCAAGCAUGGGCCGUGGGCGGUGUGUCCUGAGUCACAAAUGGCAUUGGCUGCAUCCAUCACAUGACAGGUUACUCCCAUGGCCACGAGCACCCCGCCCCGCACCUUGGCCAGCAGCCUGUAGUUCACGCCGGUGCGGACGCUCUCGACCAGGCCCACACCCAUUUCGGCACCGGUGAUAAUCUGAGUGGUGGACACAGGCAGGCCGUACACGGAGGCGACGGAGAUGGUGAUGCCGGCGGCCAGCUCAGCGCAGUAGCCACGGGCGGGAGUCAUCUGCGUGGCCAGACACGUUUGGGACCACUGUCAGUCUCGCUGCGCAAAGCAAGUGUGGAGCACUGCGCCAUCCCGUACGUUCCAAGUGAUGUUCCCUCUCCAGUGCCAUUUUAACGGCACGAAGUAAAACCCCUUGGGCUGUGCGCACCUUGGCCAGGCCCACGCCCAGGGUCACAAUGAUGUUGUAGCCGUAGGUAGCCAGGCCCACCACAAUGCCGGCGCCGCCCAUAGCAAGCACCCAGAUGGGGGUCUCGCCGUUGGAGGCGACGUUCCAGAAGCGGUACACGUGGUAGAUACCGGCGAAGGGGCCCACAGCGUUGGCGACAUCGUUGGCUCCGUGCGCGAAAGACACGGCGCAGGCGGAGAAGACCUGCAGGUACUUGUACACCUGCUCGGUCUCGGGGGAGAACACCUCGGCGGCGGCGUGCAGGUCGUGGACGGCACGGUCGGUCUCGACGUUCUGCAUUAUUUCAGCCAGGCGAGGGCAUAAGGAGCACAGGCACAGGUCAAGAAUGCACAUGCAGGGGCUGUGUAAUGUGGGCAUGCACGCAUGUCUGACCCAGCAAACUUGAAACAGAACGCAUGUAUGGCGUGACAGACCGAAAGCCUGUGACCAAAGCACCAAGGCCUUCCUAUCCAACGCAAAAAACACUAACCCACCGCAUGGAUGUCCACGUCCAGGCCACGGGUGGCGGCCUUCUUGAUCGAGUUGAAGAUCUUCAUGGCCUUGGAGGUGGGCUCAGCAUCCUCCACACCCUCCUUCUCCUUGCCAGCGUUGGCCUCGGCGUCAGCGGCCUUCUGGGCAGCCCUGCAGGCGCGCCGAUAAGAGCGAAUGUGUCAGCGACAAACAAACAGGAGCAUAAGCAACUCAAGCCGAAACAUGUUCAUACAACCGAGUAUGGGAUGAACAAACAGAUGUGCAGGUGCAGGCGCACGCCAAGGCCUGUCCACC
Molecule: long non-coding RNA, 13795 nt
Filed under: Chlamydomonas reinhardtii
Lineage: Eukaryota; Viridiplantae; Chlorophyta; Chlorophyceae; Chlamydomonadales; Chlamydomonadaceae
Description: long non-coding RNA (CREI_LNC000181)
Source: RNAcentral